UUUCCGGUUGAUCCUGCCGGAGGCCACUGCUAUCGGAGUUCGAUUAAGCCAUGCGAGUCGAGAGGGUUCAGACCCUCGGCGGACUGCUCAGUAACACGUGGAUAACCUGCCCUAAGGUGGAGCAUAACCCCGGGAAACUGGGGAUAAUACUCCAUAGAUUAGAGACACUGGAAUGUUCUUUAGUCGAAAGUUCUGGCGCCUUAGGAUGGAUCUGCGGUCGAUUAGGUUGUUGUUGGGGUAACGGCCCAACAAGCCUGUAAUCGAUACGGGUUGUGGGAGCAAGAGCCCGGAGAUGGAAUCUGAGACACGAUUCCAGGCCCUACGGGGCGCAGCAGGCGCGAAAACUUUACAAUGCAGGAAACUGUGAUAAGGGAACUCCGAGUGCCCGUAUACGCGGGCUGUCCAGGUGUUUAAAAAUCAUCUGAAGAAAGGGCCGGGCAAGACCGGUGCCAGCCGCCGCGGUAAUACCGGCGGCUCGAGUGGUGGCCACUAUUAUUGGGCUUAAAGCGUCCGUAGCUGGACCGAUAAGUCUCUUGGGAAAUCCGCCGGCUCAACCGGCGGGCGUCUAAGGGAUACUGUUAGUCUAGGGACCGGGAGAGGUGAGGGGUACUCCGGGGGUAGGAGUGAAAUCCUGUAAUCCCCGGGGGACCACCGAUGGCGAAGGCAUCUCACCAGAACGGCUCCGACAGUGAGGGACGAAAGCUGGGGGAGCGAACCGGA
RNAcentral lists this ribosomal RNA (720 nucleotides) under uncultured Methanogenium sp. RNAcentral's name for it is "bacterial SSU rRNA". It matches the Rfam family "Archaeal small subunit ribosomal RNA", at positions 1 to 728 of the family's 1478-position model. The record is from RNAcentral. Lineage: Archaea; Methanobacteriati; Methanobacteriota; Methanomicrobia; Methanomicrobiales; Methanomicrobiaceae.